This 253-nucleotide ribosomal RNA is filed under the name uncultured bacterium. Its description in RNAcentral is "partial 16S ribosomal RNA". It matches the Rfam family "Bacterial small subunit ribosomal RNA", at positions 524 to 776 of the family's 1533-position model. The record is from RNAcentral.
UACGUAGGGUCCGAGCGUUAAUCGGAAUUACUGGGCGUAAAGCGUGCGCAGGCGGUUUUGUAAGCCAGAUGUGAAAGCCCCGGGCUUAACCUGGGAAUGGCAUUUGGGACUGCAAGGCUGGAGUACGGCAGAGGGAGGUGGAAUUCCAGGUGUAGCAGUGAAAUGCGUAGAGAUCUGGAGGAACACCGAUGGCGAAGGCAGCCUCCUGGGCCAGUACUGACGCUCAUGCACGAAAGCGUGGGGAGCAAACAGG